AUCAGACACGGUGUCAGCCGCCGCGGUAAUACAGAGGGUGCAAGCGUUAAUCGGAAUUACUGGGCGUAAAGCGCGCGUAGGUGGUUUGUUAAGUUGGAUGUGAAAGCCCCGGGCUCAACCUGGGAACUGCAUUCAAAACUGACAAGCUAGAGUAUGGUAGAGGGUGGUGGAAUUUUCCUGUGUAGCGGUGAAAUGCGUAGAUAUAGGAAGAACACCAGUGGCGAAGGCGACCACCUGGGACUGAUACUGACACUGAGGUGACGAAAGCGUGGGGAGCAAACAGGAUUAGAUACCCUGGUAGUCCACGACCGUAAACGAUGUCAACUAGCCGUUGGGAGCCUUGAGCUCUUAGUGGCGCAGCUAACGCAUUAAGUUGACCGCCUGGGGAGUACGGCCG
This 397-nucleotide ribosomal RNA is filed under the name uncultured bacterium. RNAcentral describes it as "bacterial SSU rRNA". It matches the Rfam family "Bacterial small subunit ribosomal RNA", at positions 495 to 888 of the family's 1533-position model. The record is from RNAcentral.